CUGUCGGCGUGCUUAACACAUGCAAGUCGAACGGAAAGGCCCUGCUUUUGUGGGGUGCUCGAGUGGCGAACGGGUGAGUAAUACGUGAGUAACCUGCCCUUGACUUUGGGAUAACUUCAGGAAACUGGGGCUAAUACCGGAUAGGAGCUCCUGCUGCAUGGUGGGGGUUGGAAAGCUUCGGCGGUUGGGGAUGGACUCGCGGCUUAUCAGCUUGUUGGUGGGGUAGUGGCUUACCAAGGCUUUGACGGGUAGCCGGCCUGAGAGGGUGACCGGCCACAUUGGGACUGAGAUACGGCCCAGACUCCUACGGGAGGCAGCAGUGGGGAAUAUUGCACAAUGGGCGGAAGCCUGAUGCAGCAACGCCGCGUGCGGGAUGACGGCCUUCGGGUUGUAAACCGCUUUCGCCUGUGACGAAGCGUGAGUGACGGUAAUGGGUAAAGAAGCACCGGCUAACUACGUGCCAGCAGCCGCGGUGAUACGUAGGGUGCGAGCGUUGUCCGGAUUUAUUGGGCGUAAAGGGCUCGUAGGUGGUUGAUCGCGUCGGAAGUGUAAUCUUGGGGCUUAACCCUGAGCGUGCUUUCGAUACGGGUUGACUUGAGGAAGGUAGGGGAGAAUGGAAUCCCUGGUGGAGCGGUGGAAUGCGCAGAUAUCAGGAGGAACACCAGUGGCGAAGGCGGUUCUCUGGGCCUUUCCUGACGCUGAGGAGCGAAAGCGUGGGGAGCGAACAGGCUUAGAUACCCUGGUAGUCCACGCUGUAAACGGUGGGUACUAGGUGUGGGGUCCAUUCCACGGGUUCCGUGCCGUAGCUAACGCUUUAAGUACCCCGCCUGGGGAGUACGGCCGCAAGGCUAAAACUCAAAGGAAUUGACGGGGCCCCGCACAAGCGGCGGAGCAUGCGGAUUAAUUCGAUGCAACGCGUAGAACCUUACCUGGGUUUGACAUGGAUCGGGAGUGCUCAGAGAUGGGUGUGCCUCUUUUGGGGUCGGUUCACAGGUGGUGCAUGGCUGUCGUCAGCUCGUGUCGUGAGAUGUUGGGUUAAGUCCCGCAACGAGCGCAACCCUUGUUCACUGUUGCCAGCACGUUAUGGUGGGGACUCAGUGGAGACCGCCGGGGUCAACUCGGAGGAAGGUGGGGAUGACGUCAAGUCAUCAUGCCCCUUAUGUCCAGGGCUUCACGCAUGCUACAAUGGCUGGUACAGAGAGUGGCGAGCCUGUGAGGGUGAGCGAAUCUCGGAAAGCCGGUCUCAGUUCGGAUUGGGGUCUGCAACUCGACCUCAUGAAGUCGGAGUCGCUAGUAAUCGCAGAUCAGCAACGCUGCGGUGAAUACGUUCCCGGGGCUUGUACACACCGCCCGUCAAGUCAUGAAAGUUGGUAACACCCGAAGCCGGUGGCCUAACCGUUGUGGGGGAGCCGUCGAAGGUGGGACUGGUGAUU
RNAcentral lists this ribosomal RNA (1433 nucleotides) under uncultured organism. RNAcentral's name for it is "16S ribosomal RNA". It matches the Rfam family "Bacterial small subunit ribosomal RNA". The record is from RNAcentral.